UACAAAAAGGUGAGUCUUUAGUGGGCAGU
RNAcentral lists this non-coding RNA (29 nucleotides) under Rattus norvegicus (Norway rat). The record is from RNAcentral. Lineage: Eukaryota; Metazoa; Chordata; Mammalia; Rodentia; Muridae.